This is a long non-coding RNA of Impatiens glandulifera, 802 nucleotides long. RefSeq lists it as uncharacterized. NCBI's taxonomy places the organism in Eukaryota, Viridiplantae, Streptophyta, Magnoliopsida, Ericales, Balsaminaceae. The record is from RefSeq and is a predicted model, not a curated record. The transcript has 3 exons.
UCUGAGUGGCGUCCCACGCACCACGAUCACGACCUUGGAUAACAAGAAUCAAAUUUCAGAAGUACUUGCAUCCAAUGAUCUUGAAUGUGACGAUCUUGGUUUGAUCUGCCAUGCAGAUGCUCUAAUCCUCGAGAAUUAUAUUGAAGAGAUAGUGAUUUCAGCCGUAUCUUACCAUUUAAUGAAUAACAAGAAUUCUGAAUAUAGAAAUGGAAAGCUGGUAAUAUCAUCAGCCAGUUUAUCCCAUGGAUUUAGCAUCUUCCAGGAUGAAAAAGGAUGUGGAAGAGAUACUUUUAAGCUGGAGGAAAAUGCUGAAUCAUUAAAGGUUUCUUCUUCUUCAUUUCCUUCCAGAUUUUCAUGAACGUCUCACUUGUUUCUAUUGUUUCAGUAAACCGAAGUGGAAGCUGCAACAAAGCCUGAGGCGAAACCCGUUUUAUUAGUGGGGCUCCUUCAUUUGUCCUAUAUCACUCACCACUAUCUUCUCAACAGGGAAGACACUGUUUUUGAGCCAUCUAUAAUUACAGUCUAUUACCUCAAAGCAAUUGAUCCAAAAAUAUCAAUCUGAUCUCUCUUUCUCUCUCUGUCUGCAACUCUGGUGGAGGGAGGAGAAUGUUGAGAAAAUGGAGAUCACGAACAGGGUUUGGUUGGUUAUGGUAGCAGUAGUGAGUCUCAUAUUCUCAAUGGUUUCUUCUCAGUCGGCAAUGGCUCAAUCACCUGCACCUGCCCUCUUCCCGCCAAUGAUGGGACGACAAUUGAUCAAGGAGUAGCAUGUUCUAAUGCUAUUGGCAUUGGUGCUAACCUACAU